Non-coding RNA from Oryza brachyantha (malo sina), 192 nucleotides. The record is from Rfam. Lineage: Eukaryota; Viridiplantae; Streptophyta; Magnoliopsida; Poales; Poaceae.
AAUAACUUUAUUUUUUAUUUUUCCGUGUCCAACGUUUAACCAUUCGUCUUAUUUGAAAAAUUUGUAAAAAACUUAAAAAAAUCAGUCACGUAUAAAAUACUAUUUAUAUUUUAUCAUCCAGUAACAAUAAAAGUAUUAAUCGCAAAAAAGUUUCAAAUAAAACAAAUGGUCAAACGUUGGACACGGAAAAAC